ACACCUCAACUCUCAUGGUCUGCCAUGAUGAGCUUGGACUUUGGGGGUCUUGCCGGCCUAGCGUCGGCUCCUCUCAAAUGCAUCAGCUUGCCAGUGUUUGGCGGCAUCACAGGUGUGAUAACUAUCUACGCUUGUGGUUUUCCGCCAUGUAACCUUCAGUGAUGGAGGUUCGCUGGAGCUCACAGAAGUCUCUCCUCGGCGAGGACAGCUUUUUGAAC
RNAcentral lists this unclassified non-coding RNA (218 nucleotides) under uncultured Tomentella. RNAcentral's name for it is "partial internal transcribed spacer 2". The record is from RNAcentral. Lineage: Eukaryota; Fungi; Basidiomycota; Agaricomycetes; Thelephorales; Thelephoraceae.